CUUUCCGAAGUCGGUUAUGACGUCGGUCUCAUAAAUGAUUUAUGAUCCUGUGCAACACACGGGGGCUAUCCGAAGGUCACGAGUUCGAUUCUCGUCCGAGGCA
Non-coding RNA from Exophiala xenobiotica, 103 nucleotides. NCBI's taxonomy places the organism in Eukaryota, Fungi, Ascomycota, Eurotiomycetes, Chaetothyriales, Herpotrichiellaceae. The record is from the annotation of a RefSeq genome assembly.